GACGAACGCUGGCGGCGUGCUUAACACAUGCAAGUCGAACGGAAAGGCCCUGCUUUUGUGGGGUGCUCGAGUGGCGAACGGGUGAGUAACACGUGAGUAACCUGCCCUUGACUUUGGGAUAACUUCAGGAAACUGGGGCUAAUACAGGAUAGGAGCUCCUGCUGCAUGGUGGGGGUUGGAAAGUUUCGGCGGUUGGGGGUGGACUCGCGGCUUAUCAGCUUGUUGGUGGGGUAGUGGCCUAGCAAGGGUUUGACUGGUAGCCGGCCUGGGAGGGUGACCGGCCACAUUGGGCCUGAGAUACGGCCCAGACUCCUACGGUAGGCAGCAGUGGGGAAUAUUGCACAAUGGGCGGAAGCCUGAUGCAGCAACGCCGCGUGCGGGAUGACGGCCUUCGGGUUGUAAACCGCUUUCGCCUGUGACGAAGCGUGAGUGACGGUAAUGGGUAAAUAAGCACCGGCUAACUACGUG
RNAcentral lists this ribosomal RNA (468 nucleotides) under uncultured bacterium. Its description in RNAcentral is "partial 16S ribosomal RNA". It matches the Rfam family "Bacterial small subunit ribosomal RNA", at positions 28 to 507 of the family's 1533-position model. The record is from RNAcentral.